This 508-nucleotide ribosomal RNA is filed under the name uncultured bacterium. RNAcentral describes it as "partial 16S ribosomal RNA". The record is from RNAcentral.
GGAGUUAGCCGGUGCUUCUUCUGUGAGUGAUGUCCUUCCUGCCGGCUAUUAACCCGCAGGCCUUCUUCCUCACUGAAAGUGCUUUACAACCCGAAGGCCUUCUUCACACACGCGGCAUGGCUGGAUCAGGGUUGCCCCCAUUGUCCAAUAUUCCCCACUGCUGCCUCCCGUAGGAGUCUGGGCCGUGUCUCAGUCCCAGUGUGGCUGAUCAUCCUCUCAGACCAGCUACGGAUCGUCGCCUUGGUGAGCCGUUACCUCACCAACCAGCUAAUCCGACAUAGGCUCAUCCGAUAGCGCGAGGCCCGAAGGUCCCCCGCUUUCCCCCGUAGGGCGUAUGCGGUAUUAGCCUGGGUUUCCCCAGGUUAUCCCCCACUACCGGGCAGAUUCCUAUGCAUUACUCACCCGUCCGCCGCUCGCCACCAGGGAGCAAGCUCCCCGUGCUGCCGCUCGACUUGCAUGUGUUAGGCCUGCCGCCAGCGUUCAAUCUGAACCAAGAUCAAACUACUGA